RNAcentral lists this ribosomal RNA (272 nucleotides) under uncultured prokaryote. RNAcentral's name for it is "partial 16S ribosomal RNA". It matches the Rfam family "Bacterial small subunit ribosomal RNA", at positions 525 to 777 of the family's 1533-position model. The record is from RNAcentral.
ACGUAGGGCGCGAGCGUAGUCCGGAUUUAUUGGGCGUAAAGAGCUCGUAGGCGGUUUGUCGCGUCUGCCGUGAAAGUCCGGGGCUCAACUCCGGAUCUGCGGUGGGUACGGGCAGACUAGAGUGAUGUAGGGGAGACUGGAAUUCCGGGUGUAGCGGUGGAAUGCGUAGAGAUCCGGAAGAACACCAGUGGCGAAGGCGGUCUGCUGGGCGGUGGGACCGAAAGGUCUCUUGAACCGACACUGAGGCGCGACAGCGUGGGGAGCAAACAGGA